CGUGGUGAGUAACGCGUGAGGAACCUGCCUUUCGGAGGGGGACAACAGUUGGAAACGACUGCUAAUACCGCAUGAUACAUUUGGGCCGCAUGGUCUGAAUGUCAAAGAUUUAUCGCCGAAAGAUGGCCUCGCGUCUGAUUAGCUAGUUGGUGGGGUAACGGCCCACCAAGGCGACGAUCAGUAGCCGGACUGAGAGGUUGGCCGGCCACAUUGGGACUGAGAUACGGCCCAGACUCCUACGGAAGGCAGCAG
Molecule: ribosomal RNA, 252 nt
Filed under: uncultured bacterium
Lineage: Bacteria
Description: partial 16S ribosomal RNA
Rfam family: Bacterial small subunit ribosomal RNA
Source: RNAcentral